AUCAAGCUAACGGGUCCCAAAUCGGAGGAAACGCGCGUCCUGGAU
This is a non-coding RNA of Schistosoma mansoni, 45 nucleotides long. The record is from Rfam. NCBI's taxonomy places the organism in Eukaryota, Metazoa, Platyhelminthes, Trematoda, Strigeidida, Schistosomatidae.